GUAGGGAAUAUUGGGCAAUGGAGGCAACUCUGACCCAGCCAUGCCGCGUGCAGGAUGACGGCCCUCUGGGUUGUAAACUGCUUUUAUACGGGAAGAAAAAAUACUACGUGUAGUAUACUGACGGUACCGUAAGAAUAAGGAUCGGCUAACUCCGUGCCAGCAGCCGCGGUAAUACGGAGGAUCCAAGCGGUGUCCGGACUUAUUGGGUUUAAAGGGUGCGUAGGCGGAUCUUUAAGUCAGUGGUGAAAGCCUGCAGCUUAACUGUAGAAUUGCCAGUGAAACUGAAGAUCUUGAAUGUGGUUAAAGUAGGCGGAAUGUAUCAUGUAGCGGUGAAAUGCUUAGAUAUGAUACAGAACACCGAUAGCGAAGGCAGCUUGCUGAACCAUUAUUGACGCUGAGGCACGAAAGCGUGGGGAGCGAACAGGAUUAGAUACCCGUGUAGUCC
This 445-nucleotide ribosomal RNA is filed under the name uncultured bacterium. Its description in RNAcentral is "partial 16S ribosomal RNA". It matches the Rfam family "Bacterial small subunit ribosomal RNA", at positions 354 to 796 of the family's 1533-position model. The record is from RNAcentral.